Molecule: ribosomal RNA, 495 nt
Filed under: uncultured bacterium
Lineage: Bacteria
Description: partial 16S ribosomal RNA
Rfam family: Bacterial small subunit ribosomal RNA
Source: RNAcentral
GACGAACGCUGGCGGCGUGCCUAAUACAUGCAAGUAGAACGCUGAAGGAGGAGCUUGCUCUUCUGGAUGAGUUGCGAACGGGUGAGUAACGCGUAGGUAACCUGCCUGGUAGCGGGGGAUAACUAUUGGAAACGAUAGCUAAUACCGCAUAAGAGUAGAUGUUGCAUGACAUUUACUUAAAAGGUGCAAUUGCAUCACUACCAGAUGGACCUGCGUUGUAUUAGCUAGUUGGUGGGGUAACGGCUUACCAAGGCGACGAUACAUAGCCGACCUGAGAGGGUGAUCGGCCACACUGGGACUGAGACACGGCCCAGACUCCUACGGGAGGCAGCAGUAGGGAAUCUUCGGCAAUGGACGGAAGUCUGACCGAGCAACGCCGCGUGAGUGAAGAAGGUUUUCGGAUCGUAAAGCUCUGUUGUAAGAGAAGAACGAGUGUGGGAGUGGAAAGUUCACACUGUGACGGUAUCUUACCAGAAAGGGACGGCUAACUACGUG